Haliotis rubra (blacklip abalone) is the source of this 104-nucleotide long non-coding RNA. RefSeq lists it as uncharacterized. Lineage: Eukaryota; Metazoa; Mollusca; Gastropoda; Lepetellida; Haliotidae. The record is from RefSeq and is a predicted model, not a curated record. The transcript has 3 exons.
UCCUCAAGAAUCCAAACAAUUCCAAGAUGUCACUCUAAGCGUCCAUCUUGACACGGAACACUCUCCUCAAGAAUCCAGACACACGUGACAGGAAGACUCGAACU